CCGCGCUCCAAGUGAUGACCACGAUUACUGGGUUUAAAGCGUUCGUAGCCGGUUUCGCAAGUCCCUGGUGAAAUCAAUCGGUUAACCGAUUGGCUUGCUGGGGAGACUUCGAGACUUGGAACCGGGAGAGGUCAAAGGUACUCCAGGGGUAAGGGUAAAAUCUUAUAAUCCUUGGGGGACCACCUGUGGCGAAGGCGUUUGACUAGAACGGAUUCGACGGUGAGGGACGAAAGCUAGGGGAGCAAACCGGAUUAGAUACCCGAGUAGUCC
RNAcentral lists this ribosomal RNA (270 nucleotides) under uncultured archaeon. RNAcentral describes it as "partial 16S ribosomal RNA". It matches the Rfam family "Archaeal small subunit ribosomal RNA", at positions 477 to 747 of the family's 1478-position model. The record is from RNAcentral.